RNAcentral lists this transfer RNA (72 nucleotides) under Actinomycetota bacterium. RNAcentral describes it as "tRNA-Val". It matches the Rfam family "tRNA". From Rfam's summary of the family: Transfer RNA (tRNA) molecules are approximately 80 nucleotides in length. Lineage: Bacteria; Bacillati; Actinomycetota. The record is from RNAcentral.
GGGCGAUUAGCUCAGGGGGAGAGCGCCUGCUUUACACGCAGGAUGUCGGAGGUUCAAAUCCUCUAUCGCCCA